GAUGAACGCUGGCGGCGUGCCUAAUACAUGCAAGUCGAGCGAACGGACGAGAAGCUUGCUUCUCUGAUGUUAGCGGCGGACGGGUGAGUAACACGUGGAUAACCUACCUAUAAGACUGGGAUAACUUCGGGAAACCGUAGCUAAUACCGGAUAAUAUUUUGAACCGCAUGGUUCAAAAGUGAAAGACGGUCUUGCUGUCACUUAUAGAUGGAUCCGCGCUGCAUUAGCUAGUUGGUAAGGUAACGGCUUACCAAGGCAACGAUGCAUAGCCGACCUGAGAGGGUGAUCGGCCACACUGGAACUGAGACACGGUCCAGACUCCUACGGGAGGCAGCAGUAGGGAAUCUUCCGCAAUGGGCGAAAGCCUGACGGAGCAACGCCGCGUGAGUGAUGAAGGUCUUCGGAUCGUAAAACUCUGUUAUUAGGGAAGAACAUAUGUGCAAGUAACUGUGCACAUCUUGACGGUACCUAAUCUGAAAGCCACGGCUAACUACGUG
Molecule: ribosomal RNA, 497 nt
Filed under: uncultured bacterium
Lineage: Bacteria
Description: partial 16S ribosomal RNA
Rfam family: Bacterial small subunit ribosomal RNA
Source: RNAcentral